CAAAGGAAUUGACGGGGCCGCACAAGCGGUGGAGCAUGUGGUUAAUUCGAAGCAACGCGAAGAACCUUACCAGGUCUUGACAUCCCGAUGCUAUUUCUAGAGAUAGAAAGUUACUUCGGUACAUCGGUGACAGGGGGUGCAUGGUUGCGUCAGCUCGUGUCGUGAGAUGUUGGGUUAAGUCCCGCAACGAGCGCAACCCCUAUUGUUAGUUGCCAUCAUUCAGUUGGGCACUCUAGCGAGACUGCCGGUAAUAAACCGGAGGAAGGUGGGGAUGACGUCAAAUCAUCAUGCCCCUUAUGACCUGGGCUACACACGUGCUACAAUGGUUGGUACAACGAGUUGCGAGUCGGUGACGGCGAGCUAAUCUCUUAAAGCCAAUCUCAGUUCGGAUUGUAGGCUGCAACUCGCCUACAUGAAGUCGGAAUCGCUAGUAAUCGCGGAUCAGCACGCCGCGGUGAAUACGUUCCCGGGCCUU
Molecule: ribosomal RNA, 475 nt
Filed under: uncultured Streptococcus sp.
Lineage: Bacteria; Bacillati; Bacillota; Bacilli; Lactobacillales; Streptococcaceae
Description: bacterial SSU rRNA
Rfam family: Bacterial small subunit ribosomal RNA
Source: RNAcentral